GUGCUCACUUUGGCAGCACAUACGCUAAAACUGGAAUGAUACAGAGAAGAUUAGCAUGGCCCCUGUGCAAGGAUGACAUGCAAAUUAAAAAAAAAAAUUUUUUGUUU
Molecule: small nuclear RNA, 107 nt
Filed under: Homo sapiens (human)
Lineage: Eukaryota; Metazoa; Chordata; Mammalia; Primates; Hominidae
Source: RNAcentral